GCUCCCUUCGUCUAGUGGUUAGGACACUGGCCUCUCACGCCGGUAACAGGGGUUCGAAUCCCCUAGGGAGCGCCA
This 75-nucleotide transfer RNA is filed under the name Gammaproteobacteria bacterium. RNAcentral's name for it is "tRNA-Glu". It matches the Rfam family "tRNA". From Rfam's summary of the family: Transfer RNA (tRNA) molecules are approximately 80 nucleotides in length. Their secondary structure includes four short double-helical elements and three loops (D, anti-codon, and T loops). The record is from RNAcentral. RNAcentral also lists the same sequence under 5 other names. Lineage: Bacteria; Pseudomonadati; Pseudomonadota; Gammaproteobacteria.